GAGCAAACAGGAUUAGAUACCCUGGUAGUCCACGCCCUAAACGAUGCACACUAGUUGUUGCCAUGCUAGUCAUGGCAGUAAUGCAGCUAACGCAUUAAGUGUACCGCCUGGGGAGUACGGUCGCAAGAUUAAAACUCAAAGGAAUAGACGGGGACCCGCACAAGCGGUGGAGCAUGUGGUUUAAUUCGAAGAUACGCGAAGAACCUUACCUGGGCUUGACAUCCCAAGAAUCUCUUAGAGAUAAGAGAGUGCCGGCUUGCCGGAACUUGGUGACAGGUGCUGCACGGCUGUCGUCAGCUCGUGUCGUGAGAUGUUGGGUUAAGUCCCGCAACGAGCACAACCCUCGUCCUUAGUUGCUAACAGUUCGGCUGAGCACUCUAAGGAGACUGCCUUCGUAAGGAGGAGGAAGGUGAGGACGACGUCAAGUCAUCAUGGCCCUUAUGCCCAGGGUGACACACGUGCUACAAUGGGGAGGACAAUGAGAGGCGAUACCGCGAGGUGGAGCAAAUCUAUAAACCUUCUCUCAGUUCGGAUUGCACUCUGCAACUCGAGUGCAUGAAGCUGGAAUCACUAGUAAUCGUAGAUCAGCCAUGCUACGGUGAAUACGUUCCCGGGUCUUGUACUCACCGCCCGUCACACCAUGGGAGUUGAGUUCACCCGAAGCCGGAAUGCCAGACUGGCUACCGUCCACGGUGGGCUCAGCGACUGGGGUGAAGUCGUAACAAGGUA
This 729-nucleotide ribosomal RNA is filed under the name uncultured bacterium. RNAcentral describes it as "bacterial SSU rRNA". It matches the Rfam family "Bacterial small subunit ribosomal RNA", at positions 766 to 1498 of the family's 1533-position model. The record is from RNAcentral.